Molecule: unclassified non-coding RNA, 327 nt
Filed under: Hevea brasiliensis (rubber tree)
Lineage: Eukaryota; Viridiplantae; Streptophyta; Magnoliopsida; Malpighiales; Euphorbiaceae
Source: RNAcentral
GCUCACCUUGGAAUUCAACACCUUCCUCAAGACAUCUUCUGAUUUCAGAAACAACCACCGGAUCUACCAGAGGGUGACGCCUUUGUGCACGAGGAUCUCUAUAUUGUAAGAACCGACAAUUCUGGCCGAGGACCUCAUCGGCACGGUAUCCAGUGAAGAUCUCGAAGACUUUGUUGACGUAGAUGAUUGGAAAAUCGGGCUCCAGAGCAUCAGAGACCACGAAGGAAGUUGGCGUCAUUGGGUAGAAGAAAAGCCCCGGUUUCAAUGGAAGCUCGCUCACCUGCUCUUCUUCUUCUUCAUUACCGAGGUGUUCAUCGUCGUGCUUAG